This 638-nucleotide ribosomal RNA is filed under the name uncultured bacterium. RNAcentral describes it as "bacterial SSU rRNA". It matches the Rfam family "Bacterial small subunit ribosomal RNA", at positions 95 to 749 of the family's 1533-position model. The record is from RNAcentral.
GUGGCGAACGGGUGAGUAACGCGUGAGGAACCUGCCUCAAAGAGGGGGACAACAGUUGGAAACGACUGCUAAUACCGCAUAAGCCCACAGGUCGGCAUCGACCAGAGGGAAAAGGAGCAAUCCGCUUUGAGAUGGCCUCGCGUCCGAUUAGCUAGUUGGUGAGGUAACGGCCCACCAAGGCAACGAUCGGUAGCCGGACUGAGAGGUUGAACGGCCACAUUGGGACUGAGACACGGCCCAGACUCCUACGGGAGGCAGCAGUGGGGAAUAUUGCACAAUGGGGGAAACCCUGAUGCAGCGACGCCGCGUGGAGGAAGAAGGUCUUCGGAUUGUAAACUCCUGUUGUUGAGGAAGAUAAUGACGGUACUCAACAAGGAAGUGACGGCUAACUACGUGCCAGCAGCCGCGGUAAAACGUAGGUCACAAGCGUUGUCCGGAAUUACUGGGUGUAAAGGGAGCGCAGGCGGGAAGACAAGUUGGAAGUGAAAUCUAUGGGCUCAACCCAUAAACUGCUUUCAAAACUGUUUUUCUUGAGUAGUGCAGAGGUAGGCGGAAUUCCCGGUGUAGCGGUGGAAUGCGUAGAUAUCGGGAGGAACACCAGUGGCGAAGGCUGCCUACUGGGCACCAACUGACGCUGA